Poecilia reticulata (guppy) is the source of this 454-nucleotide long non-coding RNA. RefSeq lists it as uncharacterized. The record is from RefSeq and is a predicted model, not a curated record. Lineage: Eukaryota; Metazoa; Chordata; Actinopteri; Cyprinodontiformes; Poeciliidae.
AGCUGCCCUCGCAGCGAGACUCUGCCACAGAAAGGCUUCUCUGCAGCCAGCGCUCGUAUUCCUCCGGAGGCACCAACUAGAAAAGCGUAUAGAGGCCCACGGACAGGCGUACGCGUCGUCUCUGUACGGACAGGAAACCUCAGGCUCCUCGCACAGCAUGAUGAUGGAGCGCAAGCACUCUCUAAGCGGCCGCAUACAGAAACGAGACGGGGUUCAGUUACACAGAAAAAAAAUACCGGAAAAACAGAGACAAAAGAGAAGAGAGUCAACCUGAGCAUCUACGUAGCCGUUGACAACCACACAUAGCCGUUACAACAUGUCCCUGCAUGCAGGCAACUGCAAGAAAACACCACUAGGGCUGUCGGAUCCUUCUGAGCUCCAGAGCGUCCGGCUGGUGUCCUCCAGGGAUAAUGUAGCUCUCAGGCCGGUUUGUGCUGCAGAUCUCGCAGCCCGG